This 464-nucleotide ribosomal RNA is filed under the name uncultured bacterium. RNAcentral describes it as "partial 16S ribosomal RNA". It matches the Rfam family "Bacterial small subunit ribosomal RNA", at positions 339 to 795 of the family's 1533-position model. The record is from RNAcentral.
CUACGAGUCGCAGCAGUGGGGAAUAUUGCACAAUGGGCGCAAGCCUGAUGCAGCCAUGCCGCGUGUAUGAAGAAGGCCUUCGGGUUGUAAAGUACUUUCAGCGGGGAGGAAGGGAGUAAAGUUAAUACCUUUGCUCAUUGACGUUACCCGCAGAAGAAGCACCGGCUAACUCCGUGCCAGCAGCCGCGGUAAUACAGAGGGUGCAAGCGUUAAUCGGAAUUACUGGGCGUAAAGCGCACGCAGGCGGUUUGUUAAGUCAGAUGUGAAAUCCCCGGGCUCAACCUGGGAACUGCAUCUGAUACUGGCAAGCUUGAGUCUCGUAGAGGGGGGUAGAAUUCCAGGUGUAGCGGUGAAAUGCGUAGAGAUCUGGAGGAAUACCGGUGGCGAAGGCGGCCCCCUGGACGAAGACUGACGCUCAGGUGCAAAAGCGUGGGGAGCAAACAGGAUUAGAUACCCGUGUAGUC